AGCUGGGCAAAACACGGACCCCUGGAUAUACAGAGGUGUAUGUAUUAUCAUACUAAAUUUAUUUUGCGUGUAUUACAAAAUGAAAGCGAUGCGAGAAAAGACUGGUAUUUUGUACAGUGCAGAGAAGGCGACCUUAUAUCGAGAUAAAUUUUGACGGGAAGGAUACUCGGUGAUUUUUCUGGUCAACAUUCUGUAUUGCACCAUGUUUAUUGUACUGAUUAGAGUGCUAGUUCUAUACUUCCAGCUUCAGGAAGUGACGCACCUUGUCUCAAUAUCGGUGGUACCUGUCGAGAUGACAAUCUAUAUUGUUCCGGAAUUUACGUAUCGGGGUUAUGUUCCGGGGGAGCCAAUAGACGAUGUUGUUCAGGUAUCAUAAGGACUUUAUGAUAUUGUUAUUCAGUGCACCAUAUUUACCGCAUGGUUUUGUGUACAUUCAGUAGUUUAAAUAACGCCUGCUUUUGGUGAAUUUCACACA
This is a long non-coding RNA of Ostrea edulis (European flat oyster), 475 nucleotides long. RefSeq lists it as uncharacterized. The transcript is spliced from 2 exons. NCBI's taxonomy places the organism in Eukaryota, Metazoa, Mollusca, Bivalvia, Ostreida, Ostreidae. The record is from RefSeq and is a predicted model, not a curated record.